CGAACGCUGGCGGCGUGCUUAACACAUGCAAGUCGAACGGUGAAGCGCCUUCCUUUUUGGUGGGUGUGGAUGAGUGGCGAACGGGUGAGUAACACGUGAGUAACCUGCCCCCUUCUUCUGGAUAACCGCAUGAAAGUGUGGCUAAUACGGGAUAUUCUGGGUCUGUCGCAUGAUGGGUCUGGGAAAGAUAUUGUUUCGGUGGGGGAUGGGCUCGCGGCCUAUCAGCUUGUUGGCGGGGUGAUGGCCUACCAAGGCGGUGACGGGUAGCCGGCCUGAGAGGGUGGACGGUCACACUGGGACUGAGACACGGCCCAGACUCCUACGGGAGGCAGCAGUGGGGAAUAGUGCACAAUGGGCGCAAGCCUGAUGCAGCGACGCCGCGUGAGGGAUGGAGGCCUUCGGGUUGUGAACCUCUUUCGCCAGUGAAGCAGGCCUGCCUCGUUUGUGGGUGGGUUGACGGUAGCUGGAUAAGAAGCGCCGGCUAACUACGUG
Molecule: ribosomal RNA, 492 nt
Filed under: uncultured bacterium
Lineage: Bacteria
Description: partial 16S ribosomal RNA
Rfam family: Bacterial small subunit ribosomal RNA
Source: RNAcentral